RNAcentral lists this ribosomal RNA (501 nucleotides) under uncultured bacterium. RNAcentral's name for it is "partial 16S ribosomal RNA". It matches the Rfam family "Bacterial small subunit ribosomal RNA", at positions 30 to 523 of the family's 1533-position model. The record is from RNAcentral.
AUUGAACGCUGGCGGCAGGCUUAACACAUGCAAGUCGAGCGGAGAGAGGUAGCUUGCUACUGAUCUUAGCGGCGGACGGGUGAGUAAUGCUUAGGAAUCUGCCUAUUAGUGGGGGACAACAUUUCGAAAGGAAUGCUAAUACCGCAUACGUCCUACGGGAGAAAGCAGGGGAUCUUCGGACCUUGCGCUAAUAGAUGAGCCUAAGUCGGAUUAGCUAGUUGGUGGGGUAAAGGCCUACCAAGGCGACGAUCUGUAGCGGGUCGGAGAGGAUGGCCGGCAACACUGGGAGUGAAAAACGGCCAGGCCCCCUACGGGAGGCAGCAGGGGUGAAUAUUGGAAAUUGGGCGGAGGCUUUAUCAAGCCUGCCCUCGUGGUGGAAGAAGGCUUUAUGGUUUAAAAGAAUUUUAAGCGAGGAGGAGGCUACUUUAGUUAAUCCCUAGAGUUAGGGGACGUUACUCGCAGAAUAAGCACCGGCUAACUCUGUGCAAGCAGCCGCCGUAA